GCCAGGCAUGGUGGCUCAUGCCUGUAAUCCCAGCACUUUGGGGGGCUGAGGCAGGUGGAUCACCAGAGGUCAGGAGUUUGCGACCAGCCUGGCCAACAUGGUGAAACCCUGUCUCUA
Molecule: non-coding RNA, 117 nt
Filed under: Nomascus leucogenys (northern white-cheeked gibbon)
Lineage: Eukaryota; Metazoa; Chordata; Mammalia; Primates; Hylobatidae
Source: Rfam by way of RNAcentral